CAGCCGAGCGGUAAGAUUCUUCGGAAUCUUGAGAGCGGCGCACGGGUGCGGAACACGUGUGCAACCUACCUUUAUCAGGGGGAUAGCCUUUCGAAAGGAAGAUUAAUACCCCAUAAUAUAUUGAAUGGCAUCAUUCGAUAUUGAAAACUCCGGUGGAUAGAGAUGGGCACGCGCAAGAUUAGAUAGUUGGUGAGGUAACGGCUCACCAAGUCAAUGAUCUUUAGGGGGCCUGAGAGGGUGAUCCCCCACACUGGUACUGAGACACGGACCAGACUCCUACGGGAGGCAGCAGUGAGGAAUAUUGGACAAUGGGUGAGAGCCUGAUCCAGCCAUCCCGCGUGAAGGACGACGGCCCUAUGGGUUGUAAACUUCUUUUGUAUAGGGAUAAACCUUUCCACGUGUGGAAAGCUGAAGGUACUAUACGAAUAAGCACCGGCUAACUCCGUGCCAGCAGCCGCGGUAAUACGGAGGGUGCAAGCGUUAUCCGGAUUUAUUGGGUUUAAAGGGUCCGUAGGCGGACUCGUAAGUCAGUGGUGAAAUCUCAUAGCUUAACUAUGAAACUGCCAUUGAUACUGCGGGUCUUGAGUAAGGUAGAGGUAGCUGGAAUAAGUAGUGUAGCGGUGAAAUGCAUAGAUAUUACUUAGAACACCAAUUGCGAAGGCAGGUUACCAUGUCUUAACUGACGCUGAUGGACGAAAGCGUGGGGAGCGAACAGGAUUAGAUACCCUGGUAGUCCACGCCGUAAACGAUGCUAACUCGUUUUUGGGGCUUUAAGCUUCAGAGACUAAGCGAAAGUGAUAAGUUAGCCACCUGGGGAGUACGAACGCAAGUUUGAAACUCAAAGGAAUUGACGGGGGCCCGCACAAGCGGUGGAUUAUGUGGUUUAAUUCGAUGAUACGCGAGGAACCUUACCAAGGCUUAAAUGGGAAUUGAUCGGUUUAGAAAUAGACCUUCCUUCGGGCAAUUUUCAAGGUGCUGCAUGGUUGUCGUCAGCUCGUGCCGUGAGGUGUUAGGUUAAGUCCUGCAACGAGCGCAACCCCUGUCACUAGUUGCUAACAUUCAGUUGAGGACUCUAGUGAGACUGCCUACGCAAGUAGAGAGGAAGGUGGGGAUGACGUCAAAUCAUCACGGCCCUUACGCCUUGGGCCACACACGUAAUACAAUGGCCGGUACAGAGGGCAGCUACACAGCGAUGUGAUGCAAAUCUCGAAAGCCGGUCUCAGUUCGGAUUGGAGUCUGCAACUCGACUCUAUGAAG
Molecule: ribosomal RNA, 1257 nt
Filed under: Chryseobacterium sp.
Lineage: Bacteria; Pseudomonadati; Bacteroidota; Flavobacteriia; Flavobacteriales; Weeksellaceae
Description: bacterial SSU rRNA
Rfam family: Bacterial small subunit ribosomal RNA
Source: RNAcentral